AGUAAUAAGUAAGCGCCAGGACUUCAUAAGAAGUUGACGAGGACAGGGUUAAUCGAAAUUAUCGGCGGGUGCCCUGCGGCUGACCAACGUUAAAAGCCUAACAAAGCUGAGAGUAAUUUCAGUACAAAAGGGUGUGGUCAUGGGU
RNAcentral lists this non-coding RNA (145 nucleotides) under Gottschalkia purinilytica. Its description in RNAcentral is "Clostridium purinilyticum GlcN6P sequence". It matches the Rfam family "glmS glucosamine-6-phosphate activated ribozyme aptamer". Rfam says of the family: This entry contains a glucosamine-6-phosphate activated ribozyme that is found in the mRNA for GlmS. GlmS is an enzyme that uses fructose-6-phosphate and glutamine to generate glucosamine-6-phosphate. The record is from Rfam by way of RNAcentral. Lineage: Bacteria; Bacillati; Bacillota; Tissierellia; Tissierellales; Gottschalkiaceae.